ACGCUGGCGGCGUGCCUAAUACAUGCAAGUCGAACGGUCGUUUCUAUGGAAGCUGCUUCCACUGAGAAGAUAGUGGCGAACGGGUGAGUAACACGUGGGUAACCUGCCCAUAAGAGGGGGAUAACAUCCGGAAACGGGUGCUAAUACCGCAUAGUUUUCUUGAUCGCAUGAUUGAGAAAGGAAAGACGGCCUUUGUGCUGUCGCUUAUGGAUGGACCCGCGGCGUAUUAGUUAGUUGGUGAGGUAAUGGCUCACCAAGACGAUGAUACGUAGCCGACCUGAGAGGGUGAUCGGCCACAUUGGGACUGAGACACGGCCCAAACUCCCACGGGAGGCAGCAGUAGGGAAUCUUCCGCAAUGGACGAAAGUCUGACGGAGCAACGCCGCGUGAGUGAAGGUAAAGGGUUUUCGGAUCGUAAAACUCUGUUGUCAGAGAAGAACAAGUUGGAGAGUAACUGCUCCAGCCUUGACGGUAUCUGACCAGAAAGCCACGGCUAACUACGUGCCAGCCGCCGC
RNAcentral lists this ribosomal RNA (515 nucleotides) under uncultured bacterium. RNAcentral's name for it is "bacterial SSU rRNA". It matches the Rfam family "Bacterial small subunit ribosomal RNA", at positions 33 to 518 of the family's 1533-position model. The record is from RNAcentral.